UGAGCUCAAAUUUAAAAUCUGGCGUCUUUCAGGCGUCCGAGUUGUAAUCUAUAGAGGCGUUUUCCGCGCCGGACCGCGUCCAAGUCUCUUGGAAUAGAGUAUCAAAGAGGGUGACAAUCCCGUACUUGACGCGACAACCGGUGCUCUGUGAUACGUUCUCAAUGAGUCGAGUUGUUUGGGAAUGCAGCUCUAAAUGGGUGGUAAAUUCCAUCUAAGGCUAAAUAUUGGCGAGAGACCGAUAGCGAACAAGUACCGUGAGGGAAAGAUGAAAAGCACUUUGGAAAGAGAGUUAAACAGCACGUGAAAUUGUUAAAAGGGAAACGAUUGAAGUCAGUCGUGUGAAAGGUAUUCAGCCGUCUCUGGCGGUGUAUUUGCCUUUCACGGGUCAACAUCAGUUUGAUCCGGUAGAAAAAGGCGGGAGGAAGGUGGCACCCUCGGGUGUGUUAUAGCCUCCUGUCAUAUGUGCCGGACCAGACUGAGGAACGCAGCUUGCCGCAAGGCCGGGGUUCGCCCACGUACAAGCUUAGGAUGUUGACAUAAUGGCUUUAAACGACCCGUCUUGAAACACGGAC
Molecule: ribosomal RNA, 572 nt
Filed under: Vishniacozyma victoriae
Lineage: Eukaryota; Fungi; Basidiomycota; Tremellomycetes; Tremellales; Bulleribasidiaceae
Description: partial large subunit ribosomal RNA
Rfam family: Eukaryotic large subunit ribosomal RNA
Source: RNAcentral